GCCAGGGGGAGACACUGCCCUGGCUGGAGCCUGGAUUCACUAGGUCAUCACCAAUGCAGGGGGUCCUGGCUCACUGGACUUUGCUACUAGAGAAGGUUGGGGAGCUCCACAUGAAGGCAAGAAGGCUGGGGCUCAGGGUGUAACUCAUCCCCGGAGAGCAACCAGAAAGGCCGUCGGAUUGCAACGCAGCCUGCAUUGUCCUCGCUGAACGCCUGGUCCUGUCCCACCUGCACCGGACAGCAACUGCUUCCCCUCCAGGGCGGCCCCCAUCGUCCCCCAGGUGCUGCAAGAGCAGUGAGACUUACCCAAGACAAGUCAGAGGCUUUGGAGCUCUCGGGGGCGGUGGCUUCUCCCAGGAGCCCCGUAUCUGUCAGUCCCCCCAUAAGGGGAGGGGAGUUGGCAAGGCUCCUCCUUGCUCCCAGCGUGAGGAUUGCCCCUACUUUUC
RNAcentral lists this long non-coding RNA (445 nucleotides) under Homo sapiens (human). Its description in RNAcentral is "HSALNT0246633". Lineage: Eukaryota; Metazoa; Chordata; Mammalia; Primates; Hominidae. The record is from RNAcentral.